UACGUAGGUGGCAAGCGUUAUCCGGAUUUACUGGGUGUAAAGGGCGUGUAGGCGGGAAGGCAAGUCAGAUGUGAAAACUAUGGGCUCAACCCAUAGCCUGCAUUUGAAACUGUUUUUCUUGAGUGAUGGAGAGGCAGGCGGAAUUCCGUGUGUAGCGGUGAAAUGCGUAGAUAUACGGAGGAACACCAGUGGCGAAGGCGGCCUGCUGGACAUUAACUGACGCUGAGGCGCGAAAGCGUGGGGAGCAAACAGG
Molecule: ribosomal RNA, 253 nt
Filed under: Intestinimonas butyriciproducens
Lineage: Bacteria; Bacillati; Bacillota; Clostridia; Eubacteriales
Also listed under: 1 other name
Description: partial 16S ribosomal RNA
Rfam family: Bacterial small subunit ribosomal RNA
Source: RNAcentral